AACAUCUGGUGCCGGAGGAGUAUUCUGAGUUUGCGGGAAGAGGACACAAUAGCAGUUUGGAGUAACCAUCGUGUUUAGUGUCUUCUAUGAAACAUCUUUGUUUUGUUCCAAAGAGGAUGCUCAGGAAGCUGAGUUGACUCUGUCCUUAUGUUCAGCGCGGUCUUAUUAAUCCACGUGUCAUCAGUGCCUGAAGAGGACUCACUGAGUCCAACAUGGUCAUUUAUAUGCGGGGAAACUGAGGCAAAGAAAGGGCCAAAAUCUUGCUCAAGGUCACAUAAAAAAAUCCAAGGUAGGCCCGUGAGCUAUUCUGAUAAGAAUCAGAAAUCGCAUUUGAUCCGCUGAUUGUGAAUCUAGAAUCUUUGGGAAGGGGGAAGGCUACAGUAGAGGAUGAAGAAAAUGGCUGCUGUGAGACAGCAGCCUGGGGCUUCCUGCAAGCCAUGGGGACAAGACGAAACAGCCCUGGGAGAGGCCUGCAGAGUGGAGACCGGCCAGCUUCCAAACGGAAAACUUGAGAACUGUGACUACUGUGAGAGUCAAUGAAAAUUCCAAAAUAGGACUCAAUAGGCUUGGGCUCUUACUAGGCAGGCGCUUAAAUGUCAGGCUCCCUCCCUACUAACGUCAAGAAGAAGAAUCUCCAAAUGCCUUCCACCUCCAGGAGUUCCAUUUUCAGCGUAAAUUUCCACUGCAUUUGAGUUCCUCGUCAACUUUGCCUCACAUUCCUCCCUGAGGUUUAGCCCUUCAGGUGAGAGAUUAAGUUGAGCUGAAAAAUUAGGUCAGGGCUUCCUACUGCAGAUGUUCUCCAGAGACGCAACCUGGAGUGAUGACCAUCGGCUGACUCAAAACCCUGGCCCGUCACGGUGUUUCUCUUCUACUUAGUCAUGAGAGUCUGAGCACCUGGUCUCUGCAUCCCACGGCUCCCUUUGUCCUAAGGGCCUUCCAGAAGGAUUGGAGAGCUCUCGACAGCUGUGAAACAUCUAGAGGAAGCUGCAUUGGAUGUCUCAGAUGGUCUUCAGCUGAAAUCCCAAAGAAGUAGACUCUAAUGCCAGUGAAAGAAUGGACUUGCUAGCUAUCAAGAACAAUCAGACAAAGAACAAGAGCUUCCUUCUGCUAUGUCCUUAUAUAGGCUUCCAGCAAGAGGUGCGGCCUGGAUCAAGA
Molecule: non-coding RNA, 1155 nt
Organism: Myodes glareolus (Bank vole)
Lineage: Eukaryota; Metazoa; Chordata; Mammalia; Rodentia; Cricetidae
Source: RefSeq, a predicted model, not a curated record